This is an RNA transcript of Vigna angularis (adzuki bean), 1371 nucleotides long. It is a transcript of the gene named EID1-like F-box protein 2, with no coding region annotated. The transcript is spliced from 4 exons. The record is from RefSeq and is a predicted model, not a curated record. Lineage: Eukaryota; Viridiplantae; Streptophyta; Magnoliopsida; Fabales; Fabaceae.
UCAGUUACUCUAUGCAUGUCUUCAAAUAUAUUACACUUUUUUUCCUCUUCAAACGUUUCUGUUUAUGGUUCUUUUUCUUGCUUUUUUUUUUCAUCUUCUUUGGUUUUCUUCCUCGUACCUUCUCUUCUCUUUAUCUCUUUGCAUUUUUGCUGCUUCGAGUUGAGUGUGUUGCCCUGUGCUUUUUGUGGACCGAAUUGUCCCUUCUCAGAGGUGAAGAAAAUGAUUCUCACUAAGCAGUAUCGAUGUGUACAUUCAGCUAGUUGUCAAUGCACCAAGGGACAUUUAAGUGAAGAUGUGAUAUUCUUGGUGUUUCAGCAUUUGAAUUGGAACCCCAAUCUAAUUGCUACACUGUCGUGUGCAUGCAAAUGGUUUGAUGAUAUUGCAAAGAGGGUUUUAUGGAAAGAGUUUUGCAGAACAAGAGCUCCUAAGAUGAUGCUUGAUCUGCAAUCCAGUGGAAGUCACAGUGCAGAUGGGAACUGGAGGGCUCUGGGGAAGCUUCUCAUAUUCUGUUCUGGUUGCACACAAGGUGGUUUGUUCGAUAAUGUUGAGGUUCCUGGUCACUUUGUUAACAAGACUCGGUUUUCUAAAACACUAGGAAAGAGCUUUCUCAUGCCACAGUGUCUGAAUGAUGUUUUGUAUGUGUCUGAGCCUUGUGAGCAUAUUGACCAAGGUGAAGCUGGUGAUUUAGGAUUCUUCAGAGGAAUUUUCAAGUCGUUUGCAUCAUCAAACGUUAAGAAGAUGAUAAUUAACAGAGGUGCACAGCUCCAUCCAACCGAGAUUUGCCCCUAUUGUAAGGCUAAGUUGUGGAGUAUGCUACAGGCCAAUAUGAUUCCACAAACUGCUAAGUGCAGGUUGGGUUCCCAUAAAGAUUAUAUUGAGUAUUAUGUCUGCCUAAAUGGUCACUUGCUUGGGGUCUGCACAUUGUUACCACUGUCUGAUUCAGAGGAUGUAUCUGAAAAUGAGUAAGAUAUUAAUGAUUCUCAGGUGUUUCAGUUUAUUAUUGGUUAAAAGUUUGUAGAAAUGGAUACUAUUCUCUCAUCAGAAUUGAAGUUUCAUCUGGAUUGGAAUUCAAUCUUAACAUGAAAUUUGGCUGAGCGCAGUGCUGUUUGCUCAAGGGUGAAACUGUGCUCAGCAACAGCUAUAAGUCUCAUUUUGAUUCAAACCUCCACAUUGCAUUAUGCUUCAUGUUGCUGUCUCAACUCAUGCCAGCAUUUUCCACUGAUUAUAAAUAUUGCCAACAUUUUUUUUAAUAAAUCAAAUAGAAGGUGGUUCUUUACUUAGAACUAUGUGGUACACUGAAUUGUUUUGUAGAUUUCUGACCUGGGUGUGCAAUAGUUAAUACUUCUUAAAAAUCAUUUUGAUUUAGUAGCA